Molecule: ribosomal RNA, 429 nt
Filed under: Gemmatimonadota bacterium
Lineage: Bacteria; Pseudomonadati; Gemmatimonadota
Description: Gemmatimonadetes bacterium partial 16S ribosomal RNA
Rfam family: Bacterial small subunit ribosomal RNA
Source: RNAcentral
UAGGGAAUCUUCGGCAAUGGACGAAAGUCUGACCGAGCAACGCCGCGUGAGUGAAGAAGGUUUUCGGAUCGUAAAACUCUGUUGUUAGAGAAGAACAAGGACGUUAGUAACUGAACGUCCCCUGACGGUAUCUAACCAGAAAGCCACGGCUAACUACGUGCCAGCAGCCGCGGUAAUACGUAGGUGGCAAGCGUUGUCCGGAUUUAUUGGGCGUAAAGCGAGCGCAGGCGGUUUCUUAAGUCUGAUGUGAAAGCCCCCGGCUCAACCGGGGAGGGUCAUUGGAAACUGGGAGACUUGAGUGCAGAAGAGGAGAGUGGAAUUCCAUGUGUAGCGGUGAAAUGCGUAGAUAUAUGGAGGAACACCAGUGGCGAAGGCGGCUCUCUGGUCUGUAACGGACGUUGAGGCUCGAAAGCGUGGGGAGCAAACAGG